UACCUUUGAAGCCACUGCCAUGAGGUGGGAAGAGAGUAUAGGUGGUGUUUGAGGAUUGAGGUCACUGCUAUGAGGUGGGAAGAGAAUAUCGGUGGUGUUUGAGGAUUGAGGUCACUCAUGAUGUGGGAAGAGAGUAUAGGUGGUGUUUGAGGAUUGAGGUCACUCAUGAGGUGGGAAGAGAGUAUAGGUGGUGUUUGAGGAUUGAGGUCACUCAUGAGGUGGGAAGAGAGUAUAGGUGUUGUUUGAGGAUUAAGGUCACUCAUGAGGUGGGAAGAGAGUAUAGGUAGUGUUUGAGGAUUGAGGUCACUAUUAUGAGGUUGGAAGAGAGUAUAGGUGGUGUUUGAGGAUUGAGGUCACUCAUGAGGUGGGAAGAGAGUAUAGGUGUUGUUUGAGGAUUGAGGUCACUGCCAUGAGGUGGGAAGAGAGUAUAGGUAGUGUUUGAGGAUUGAGGUCACUAUUAUGAGGUUGGAAGAGAGUAUAGGUGGUGUUUGAGGAUUGAGGUCACUCAUGAGGUGGGAAGAGAAUAUCGGUGGUGUUUGAGGAUUAAGGUCACUGCCAUGAGGUGGGAAGAGAGUAUAGAUGGUGUUUGAGGAUUAAGGUCACUCAUGAGGUUGGAAGAGUGUAUAGAUGAUGUUUGAGGAUUGAGGUCACCAAUGAGGUGGGAUGAGGAUAUUGACGUCACUUUCAUGACUCGUGAGGUUGGAAGGGGGUAUAUAGUUGUAUGAGUAUUGAGAUUAAUGUGACCUUACGAGGCGGGAAGAGAGUAGAGAGUAUCAGUAAGGACUGAAGUCACUGUCUUAAGCUGGUAAGAGCCUGAACAGAGAUACAGCUGUGAAAGGAGACGAAAACAAACUGUAACUAACCAACCAACCAAAAGCCCAAUGAUGUCCAUAUAACACACUUGGAAGUUAUUGUCCUACCACAGCAGAUGAACCUGUCCGUUCCCACAUUCAUUAGUGAGGACAAAGUGUGACCGUAAAGCUGCCAACCUGUAAUGAUUUGCAGCAGUGACUAUGUACAUUGAUGUUAAAGAGCUGGAUGGUCACUGGCAAUCGUGUCCUAACUAUUGCGCCACUCUGACAGGUGGCAGGUAGAAUGGAAAGACUUUGAAACAUGUAGUUUCCAGUUGCCAAUUUCUGAUCCCUGAUGCAUGAGUAUUUCAUGAAUGGAUUCUUCUUGAGUAGCCAGGACCAGACAGUGCAAGUGCAACUGUAAAUCAUUUGGAGAUGAAAGAAAAAAAAUUCCUUAGUUGAAGAUGCAGGAAGUACUUCUCUGCUGUUGACUCCAUAAUGUAAAUACGAAGAUGGAGAUAAAACCAGCAGUUGUGUCAAGGUUGCUGAUGUAAUGAGCGUACUGACCUACACUUUUAACACCAUAGCAAUAUGUUUUGAAUUGCCAGUGGUAUUAUAAUAUCAUUUUAUGGAAUUAUGAAUGCUAAUAAAUUAGUUUUGAUUGAGAAACGGAACAGUUACACAAAUGUCUGAGGCAGUUGAAGCUCUAUUUACUAUGAACCUCUCCUCCCCUGCUUGCACCACUUUUAUUCAGUAUCUUCUGACUUAUCUUACCAUAUGGGACUCUCCCUUGCUUGUCACCUUUACAUAUUAAGUCACUUUCCCAUUGUAUAGCUCUACUGAUACUUAAUGCCUUCCUUCUCUGUACCCUUUGUACAAAUUCUGUCCCCGAUCAUCCUCUACUAAUCCUACACUAGAUAAGUUUUCUACUCACCAUCUUUUACUGUUGCAUGCCUAUAUCGAGGACAUUUUUCGUUCUUGAUUCCUCACCCCAGCCCCAUCCCAUUUACUUUGCCCUAAGUUAACCUCCAUUACUGAAUUAACUCUCUUCCUUCCCUCUAUCCCCAAUUUUUCCCUUUGCCAUAUCUUUCUAACACUUCUAACCAUUUUCUGAUUAGUGUAGUAGAAGUGUUAUUUUGCUGUCUUCCCAUUUGGUUGGUUCUGUUACAUGGACAUGGAUAUCUCAACUGGAGUGUAAGAGUUUGGCUUAUCAGCAUGAAGCUUGCAGAUUGCUGGCCAGUCACACUCUAAUAUGAGGGUUUAGAUAUCUCUGUCCACAGAACAGAGCCAUAUUUGAUUAUUUUUCUCACUCACAAGUAAACAGAUUCAAUCCGUAAUAAACAUCAAUCUUCUUGAUCCAUCUACAUCUCCAAAGCCUCGGGUCUACCCUGUUUUAGGUAAUUAUCUCUUCCCUAGCAACAACCAGAUCAACCAGUGAAGUAUGUGAGGAAAGGCUUUCUGCUGAAAAUAUCUGCACAAAGCAUUGCUUAUGUUGAAAGUGUGGCAGAAAAAAGGAUGUGGUCCAGGGACAGAUAAUCAGAAAAUCACAGGAAAUUGGGCUUAGCUGAGUUGGAGAUUGCCAUGCCCUCUCCCUGGGAUUUUCAAACAUUUCUGUUUAUGGAACAUAUUUUAAUCUUGAUGCAAAGUCUGAAAACACUGCUGCUACAAAAAUGUGCUGUAUACAUUAAAUUUACCUUAUGUUGCUCUUCCUUCUGCUUCUAAAUACCUAUCCUGCCACUUGCUACAACUCUCGACACACUAACCAUCAUAGUUUAAAGAUCUUUGCAAGAGCUUGUUUUGUGCUAAAAGAAAAGACUCCUACACGGCAAAUAAUACCACAUUUCACAACAAAAAUGUAUUUUUAGAACACUAUAAAAAUAUACAAAAAAAAAAAAAAAAAUAGGAAACUGCUAAUGCAGAAGUGCUACAAAACUUGAAUACAACUUGCAAUACAGAAUUUCUCGAGGAUAUAUUUAUGGACACGUGACCCAACAGUAGGUUUUGAAUCAUACAGGGAAUCGUGCUACAUGUACAAAACUAGGAUUUUAUUACUAGUAUUUUAUGUAGAUUGGAAGGGGGUGAAGUGGGGGCAUAUUCAAGGAAACGUGUAACUGAAAGUAAACGCAUAAGGGGAAACCAAAUGAAAGUGUCGUGCUAUAUAUAGUAUAUAGCAGUUACGAUUACUGCAACAAUAUGUUAAAAAAAAAAAAAA
Pecten maximus is the source of this 3003-nucleotide long non-coding RNA. RefSeq lists it as uncharacterized. NCBI's taxonomy places the organism in Eukaryota, Metazoa, Mollusca, Bivalvia, Pectinida, Pectinidae. The record is from RefSeq and is a predicted model, not a curated record. The transcript has 2 exons.